This 508-nucleotide ribosomal RNA is filed under the name uncultured bacterium. Its description in RNAcentral is "partial 16S ribosomal RNA". It matches the Rfam family "Bacterial small subunit ribosomal RNA", at positions 28 to 507 of the family's 1533-position model. The record is from RNAcentral.
GACGAACGCUGGCGGCGUGCCUAAUACAUUCAAGUCGAACGCUUCUUUCCUCCCGAGUGCUUGCACUCAAUUGGAAAGAGGAGUGGCGGACGGGUGAGUAACACGUGGGUAACCUACCCAUCAGAGGGGGAUAACACUUGGAAACAGGUGCUAAUACCGCAUAACAGUUUAUGCCGCAUGGCAUAAGAGUGAAAGGCGCUUUCGGGUGUCGCUGAUGGAUGGACCCGCGGUGCAUUAGCUAGUUGGUGAGGUAACGGCUCACCAAGGCCACGAUGCAUAGCCGACCUGAGAGGGUGAUCGGCCACACUGGGACUGAGACACGGCCCAGACUCCUACGGGAGGCAGCAGUAGGGAAUCUUCGGCAAUGGACGAAAGUCUGACCGAGCAACGCCGCGUGAGUGAAGAAGGUUUUCGGAUCGUAAAACUCUGUUGUUAGAGAAGAACAAGGACGUUAGUAACUGAACGUCCCCUGACGGUAUCUAACCAGAAAGCCACGGCUAACUACGUG